Molecule: ribosomal RNA, 764 nt
Filed under: Leptogium sp.
Lineage: Eukaryota; Fungi; Ascomycota; Lecanoromycetes; Peltigerales; Collemataceae
Description: SSU rRNA
Rfam family: Bacterial small subunit ribosomal RNA
Source: RNAcentral
AAUAACCUAACGGUUGAACCAGCAACUUGGAAGAAUGUAUAGCUAAGCUAAAUGUUUUUGUAAAAAAACAUAUUCGAUUUAUUCGUAUAAAAUUCUAGGUAGAAUUAUGAUAAUGACAUUAUCUAUCUAUAAGUCUUGACAAACAUGCGUGCCAGCAGUCGCGGCAAGACGCUAAAGACUAGUGUUAUUCAUUUUUAAUAGGUUUAAAGGGUACCUAGACGGUAAAUUAAGCCUUAACGGGUACUAAUUUAACUAGAGUUAAAUGUAAGGGUGCAUUAACGUACUAUUGAGUGUAGAGAUGAAAUUCUGUCAUACCAGAUUAUUGGCACGGGUAUAGGCGAAAGCAUCACUUUAUGUAAUAACUGACGUUGAGGGACGAAGGCUUUGUAUCGCUAAAAGGAUUAGAUACCCUCGUAGUCUAAGCAGACAAUGAUGAAUGUCAUAGGUUAAAUAUUAUUUAAUCUAUAAAUGAAAGUGUAAGCAUUCCACCUCAAGAGUAAUUUGGCAACAUUGGAAUUGAAAUCAUUAGACCGUUUCUGAUACCAGUAGUGAAGUAUGUUGUUUAAUUAGAUGGUCCACAAAAAACCUUACCACAACUUGAAUAUUUUACAAGCGUUGCACGGCUGUCUUCAGUUAAUGUCGUGAGAUUUUGGUUAGUUCCAUAAAAUUAACGUAAACCCUUACUUUAUUUUAUAUAAAGUAGUUCGCCGCUAUAUUGGUUAGAUAAAAGGGAGUAAGACAAGUCAUCAUGGCCUAAAUGUUGU